RNAcentral lists this ribosomal RNA (253 nucleotides) under Roseburia inulinivorans DSM 16841. Its description in RNAcentral is "partial 16S ribosomal RNA". It matches the Rfam family "Bacterial small subunit ribosomal RNA", at positions 524 to 776 of the family's 1533-position model. The record is from RNAcentral. Lineage: Bacteria; Bacillati; Bacillota; Clostridia; Lachnospirales; Lachnospiraceae.
UACGUAUGAUGCAAGCGUUAUCCGGAUUUACUGGGUGUAAAGGGAGCGCAGGCGGAAGGCUAAGUCUGAUGUGAAAGCCCGGGGCUCAACCCCGGUACUGCAUUGGAAACUGGUCAUCUAGAGUGUCGGAGGGGUAAGUGGAAUUCCUAGUGUAGCGGUGAAAUGCGUAGAUAUUAGGAGGAACACCAGUGGCGAAGGCGGCUUACUGGACGAUAACUGACGCUGAGGCUCGAAAGCGUGGGGAGCAAACAGG